RNAcentral lists this ribosomal RNA (473 nucleotides) under uncultured bacterium. RNAcentral's name for it is "bacterial SSU rRNA". It matches the Rfam family "Bacterial small subunit ribosomal RNA", at positions 8 to 526 of the family's 1533-position model. The record is from RNAcentral.
AGGGUUUGAUUAUGGCUCAGAACGUACGCUGGCGGCACGCCUAACACAUGCAAGUCGAACGAAGUAGCAAUACUUAGUGGCAGACGGGUGAGUAACAUGUAGGUAUCUGCCCUUUGGCCUGGAAUAACACGAGGAAACUUGUGCUAAUACCGGAUAAGUCUUUACGGAGAAAGCUUUAUGCACCAUUGGAUGAGCCUGCAUUUGAUUAGUUUGUUGGUGGGGUAAUGGCCUACCAAGACUGUGAUCAAUAGCUGAUUUGAGAGGAUGAUCAGCCACAUUGGGACUGAGACACGGCCCAAACUCCUACGGGAGGCAGCAGUGGGGAAUCUUGCACAAUGGAGGAAACUCUGAUGCAGCGAUGCCGCGUGAGUGAAGAAGGCCCUUGGGUUGUAAAGCUCUUUCGUCGGGGAAGAAAAUGACUGUACCCGAAUAAGAAGGUCCGGCUAACUUCGUGCCAGCAGCCGCGGUAAUAC